Punica granatum (pomegranate) is the source of this 3846-nucleotide non-coding RNA. The record is from RefSeq and is a predicted model, not a curated record. NCBI's taxonomy places the organism in Eukaryota, Viridiplantae, Streptophyta, Magnoliopsida, Myrtales, Lythraceae.
AAACUUGGAUUUUUCUAGGUUAGGACCCUAGGCCCAUUUUCCACUUUUUGGGUCUUAGGCCCAUUACUAGUCCCACUCAGCCCGUCGUGUGAAUGUUUUGCAUGAAUGUGUGGCCCAUGUACCUAUGUUGGCCUGAAAGUACAACCUAUUUACUUUGACCUAAAGGUAUGGCCCGUUUCAUUUUUCUUGACCCGACUGUGUGGCUCAGUAUUCGAUAGUUGGACUAUGUAAUUAUAUAAGCACGCGUAUCGUGCGGAGUCUAUAAUUCAUUUUUUAAUUUCCUUGUACAUUCGCAAAUGUGGACUCGACCCUAGGAUUUAAUAAACUCGACUUUAACAAAUAAAAAGUGUUAGAACUAUUAGGAGCUUAGGAAUGUACCGAAAAUUCGAGUUAUUGAUUUGCAGGCAUCUAAUCUCGUAAUAAAGCCUCUGGACUCAUUUCUCUAGUUAGAAAGACCGAGUCAAAUUUAAGUCUUUAGGCAAUUAGUAUUAUGACCUCGUAGAUAUUUAGGCGGCUCAACGGCCAAAUAAAAUGGCAUAGUGGCAUUCUAAUCCCAAUUGGGUCUCUGUCCAUGUGGACUAACAAAACACUCAAGUUGGUGGUAGAGGCCUAAAAACCACGCCAUGUGACAGCUCGACGACUCAGCUGAGAAUCUACAAGAGGGCUUGGGCCCAAAAUCCCCAGUUCUUAAAAAAUUCUAACACGGACUUUGUAUGAUUAACCCUUUGAGUGCGCAAUUUAAAUUAGCACUACAUAUAAAAAAAUUUUAAAAAAAGUUCUGGUCGACCCAGGACCAAUGUUAGAAACCUUACUAGGAUUAGACAAGGAGGCUUAGUACGGGUACGCCCGUAUGAGCGUUCUCAUCGGAAAUGGUCAUGAAUGACUCCCGCUCGACUUGAAAAAUCUAAUGACCCCCCCCCCCUUUGGGACUCUUGGAAACUAUGGGCUGGGGACCUACAAGUAUAGGUAGCACCCAACCGUAUAAAACCGUAAGCCCAUCAUGCAUAUUCUUCUAUUGUAUGCUUUUGGGUGUGCUUAUUUAAAUCACUUACUAGUGUAAAUGGUAGAUGAUAGAAAAUUCUUUUGUAUCUUUUUUUUUUUGGAGUAGAUAUAAAUGUGAUAUCUUUUCUUUAUCUCUUACACAUGACAUGGUUUUCAAAUAAAACCUCAAGUAUUAGUUAGAUUCCCUUGACUAUUAAGUUGAUCAUAGCCACAUGCGACCAAAAUUUAGAGAGAUGACUGGGGCAAUAAAAAUAAUCUCUCAUGGUGGGAUGAAUGAUGGAAUUAGAGACAAAUGUGAUCAUUGUCUCGAUUUGAAUACAAAUGUCACGCCCUUACAAAGACUUGAAUGUCAAGUGCAGAGCGGGGGAAGAUACAGUGAGAUGCGACUCACCAUACUCAAGAACCACCCAAGGUCACGUAAAAGGAAAAAGGAAGGAGUAAGAAGAAGACCCCAUCUACUGGCUCCGCACCAUUAUUGGACGAGAUCUAAAGCAAGGAUGGCAUUAGAGCAGCGUAAUGUAUACCACGUCUUGGAGGAUCCUCCAUCACUCGAGGCAUUGAGCUCUAAAGAAAGGAUUGCUUGCCUAGAGCAAGCUUUGACGGGGCUGAAUGGUAAUAUGGAGCACUUCUUGGCACUACUCGAAGCUUAAGCUAUCGCAGCUGUGCGCACCCGAAUUUCAUCUCGUCGGGGCACGCAUUCACGUGCCUAUGCAACGCGGCUUGGGAGUGUCCACAUUCCCGGGGACGCGCGAUGGACGCACAUGAGAAGGAGUCACCACUACAUGUUUACGACCCGAAGGUUGAGGGCCGAUGAGUUGCUCGGGUCUAGGGUAUGGGAUACACCUAGUAUGCUAAGGCAAUGGUUUGUAUGGAACCAGAAAUUUCGAAUUCGGGGGUUUUAUUACAUGUGGGCCUAUAUCCCACACGCCCUUUCGGUACUCUAGCUUGCUAGGCUUGCCAUUUUAUUUAUUUACCGCAUGAUAUAGGGUUGCAAUUGACUCGCCCGUUUUGACACCUUAAAUUUGAAGAAACACUCGAACCGUCCACUUUUCGACCGGGAUUAUUACAUGAAUAAAUGUACAACAUAAACCCUUACAUUGUUCUCUCGAAUAAAUAUAAAAAUACAAUACAUGGAUCCCGGUUGGCUCACAUUUAGCCAAAUAUUCCACUCUGACUCACCGUGUGUUUGAGAAAAGACCGAAACUAAAAUUAAGGCGACGCGGGCUCAGAAAGCCGGGGGUCGGGUCCAAUCGAACCGACGGGUAGCAAGAGGGUCGGUUGACCCUCGAGAUGGCUGUGGGAUCGGUCGAGCUCCCGGGCGAUUGUCAAGUCACGAUUCACGCACCCAAUCCGAGUCGUCUUUCACUUAGACACUACUCGGAGUGAAGUAGUGACUCGAGGCUAGACCCCAUGCCGCACUCGGGACAUACGCGCUCAAUGUAUGGGGGCGUCGGGCCCCGUGAACGAAUGUUAUGGGGCGUUGGACCCCGUGCAAUGCGUAUCCUAAAAGAUCGGACUCGACCCACGAGAAAACAAUAGAAAAACAUAUAAAAGCAGAUAAAACAGAUACAAACAGAUAAGUUGUGUGUUAAUAUCAGAUUUGCAUGAUUUAUCAGGUUCGUGUGGAUUUUGAAAAAAACAAAAAUUCAAACACUACAACGCACAAUCAUAGACAUGUUCAAUCAUGUUAAUACUUAAUUUGCCGAUUUUAAAUCCAAGUGAUCGAUUAAGCCGGUCUUGUUUGUUUAAUCGAUUUUAUUCCUUAAAACCGAAUGAACAUGAGAUUAAUUCAUAUGGGUUCAUUCUCACUUCAACAACCGAUUUUAAAUCCGAUUCUUUGAAAAUAUUCAAAUUCGUGUUCAUAUCGGUUUCUUUUCACACUCCCCAUUUUCAAAAGUCGGGUUUAGGUAUUAGACCGAUUCAUGCUAUUUUCAAUUGAGAUACACAUUUCACGUCAUUAUAAUUCAUGCAAGUAUUGAAUCGACAACACGAUAAUAACAAACAAAUACGAAACCGCUAUCGCCAUAAUCUCGAAAAUUUCAAACAAACAUUCGAGCAUGCAUAACAAUAUGAGAUUUAACGGAAUCGAUAAAACGGCACCGGUUCAUACCGAAACAUGCAUGAAAAUCAGUCUGGCACCGCCUUAUCACCCCACAAUGCUUGAAAAUUAAAAGACUUAAUUCCUCUAAGGGUUUAGGGGGUGUUAUACCUUCGCCUUGGAGUUGGAAAUGAUUCGGGAAAUGUUUCGGAAAGGAAAGGAACAACUUCGGACAGUAGGGUCUCUGAGUGACCCGAGAAGGCUCAAACUCGCCUUAAGGAGGAAAUCGGCUGGAGUGGGCUGUCGGGAGUGGUUCCAGCAAGUUGGCACGGUGGCUCUUGACUCCCAAGGGACCCCUGGACAUGGCUAUAGGUGAUAUUCAAUGAGCCAUGGUUUGAUUUAACCUGAAAAUAAGAAAGAAAACUGGUAAAGUAUAGAGGAAACUCGGAAAAGAAAAGAGAGGAAAGGAAGCAGUUCACGCGACGAUGCAUAGUGGUUCACGGCUCUUGGAUGGCCAUGGAACGUUGCUGGAGAUGGCUCAUGGGUCUAUGGGUCGUUGGUUGACCCGGCUUGGUCGUGGAAGGGAUGAACUCGUCAGGAAACCGGGAAAACACCUAGGAACCGAUUCUGAAAACUACUGGAACAGGAUAUUGGAGGCCUCAAAUGGAGAAAAUAACCUCACCAAUGGACUCGGGAAGUCGAAAACUAGAAGGGUAUGUAGUUUUUUUUGUGCUCGGGCUAAGACGGGAUGAAGAAAAUGCCUAGGAACUGGGAAAACUCGGGGGAGACCCGAAUCUAGACCAUGC